UACGAAGGGGGCUAGCGUUGCUCGGAAUCACUGGGCGUAAAGCGCACGUAGGCGGAUUGUUAAGUCAGGGGUGAAAUCCUGGAGCUCAACUCCAGAACUGCCUUUGAUACUGGCGAUCUUGAGUCCGGGAGAGGUGAGUGGAACUGCGAGUGUAGAGGUGAAAUUCGUAGAUAUUCGCAAGAACACCAGUGGCGAAGGCGGUUGCCUGGGGCUUUGCUGACGCUGAGGCGCGAAAGCGUGGGGAGCGAUCCGG
Molecule: ribosomal RNA, 253 nt
Filed under: uncultured bacterium
Lineage: Bacteria
Description: partial 16S ribosomal RNA
Rfam family: Bacterial small subunit ribosomal RNA
Source: RNAcentral